UUUUUUUUUUUUUUUUUUUUGUCUUUUUGCCUUUUCUAGGGCCACUUCCUGAGGCAUAUGGAGGUUCCCAAGCUAGGGGUCCAAUUGGAGCUGUAGCCACCGGCCUACGCCACAGCCACAGCAACAUGGGAUCUGAGCUGCAUCUGCGACCUACACCACAGCUCAUGGCAAUGCCGGAUCCUUAACCCACUGAGCAAGGCCAGGGAUACUAGUCAGAUUUGUUUCCACUGAGCCAUGACAGGAACACGGAAAUGCAGGAUUCUCAACCCACUGAGUGAGACUAGCGAUCGAACUGCAUCCUCACGGAUAUUAGUCUGGUUCUUAACCUGCUGAGCUGCAGUGGGAACUCUACUUUUUUAAAACUAUCCCUUUGAUGACAUUACUCCCUCUUCAGAAAACUUCAGCACCCCCCUCCCUUUGUCUCUUAAGUUGCAGGCUCAUGGCACUUUAGCAUCCCUCUCCUACGCGUGGCUCAGAAUAGCCUCUGCACUGAGACCCCUCCCAUGGCCCAUGGCCCGUCCCCCCAUCCCCACUUCACUGCACCAGCACCAGCACCAGCAGCUACCCCAGUGGGCAAAGCAGUUUGGUCUUUUCAUGCUGUCAUCUCAUUUGCAAACAGGCACGAUGCUCUCCUUGGAAUUCUUCUCAUAUCUGUAUCCAUCCAAUUAGAGCCAGUCUGCCCCAGGCCAUAGUGACAUCCCUUAAAACUGUGCCUUCUCCAAAACCACAGUGGAAGACAUUUAUGUUAGUGAGAUAAACAGUGUUGGGGGCUAGAGCGAGGGUCACAGGUGCAUAGAAACCCAGUUGUUGGACCAGCAGUUAUUUCAGUGAUAAUGGUGUUUUCAGUCUCCCUGGGAGGGUAACUUCAAACCUGAACAUCACUGGAAAAAUAAUUUCACUGGAUCUCGUUGCACAAGUUUGCAGUGAACUACACUGGGAGUUUAAAAUGGUUCCAUUUGGUGAAAAACAGCAUAGACAGCUGUAUUUCAAAUAGAAGAGCAUUUUUUUUUCCUGCUAGAAGCCUUAGUCUGCAUUAAAGGAAUCUUAUUUCUCAAUCGAUCACUUUGUAUCUAAUACACAUUAUGCAGACUCUGCAGAAGAAAUGUCUGUAGCGUUUAUCCUUCAGAAGUGAGUUUAAGUCCUUUUUCCUCCAUGGAGUUUGGCUCUUACCAGCCACUCUUCUAUCCGGUGGUUUUUUCCUUCAGAUACCUUUUUUUUUUUUUUGUAUUUUCUAGGGCCACACCUACAGCAUAUGGAGGUUCCCAGGCUAGUGGUCGAGUCAGAGCUGCAGCCACCAGCCUACACCACAGCCACAGAUCUGGCGUUGCUGUGAGCUGUGGUGUAGGUCGCAGACACGACUCGGAUCCCACAUUGUUGUGGCUCAGGCAUAGGCUGGCAACUACAGCUCCAAUUCCAAUUCCAAGAAAUGGCAAAAAGACAAAAAAAAAAAAUUCUACAAAAGCUCAGGCAUUUUCAGCAACAUGAAGCCCUUGGAAAUGAGAGUGACGAUAGGAUUAAAAAUUAGGAGUAUCGGUUAAAAGUUCAGGUCUGUUUUCUAACUCUACACAAGCAGAUAACUGUCCCACUUCCACUCCAAGUUAGGAAUGGAUGUGUUUUUGUUUGUUUGUUUUCUGUAGAGAUGACAUAGAAUAGAGGGUUCUGGAUUGGAAGGUAUCAGGAAAAGUUAAAAGUGGCCUCACAGGGUCUUGCAAUCAGGGAGACGGCAUUGAUUUACCGAGUCCUGAGAACCAUAGCAGCCUUCUUCCCCUUGUCCCCAAGCCCGCGGGCAGUCAGAUGAUUACCCCACCGGUAGGAGACUCCAGGAGUCGUCCCUGGGAUUCUGACCUAGAAAAUAACACUCGAGCAUACUGACAUGAGAGGGUCCCCAAAGAAGAGGUCUAACUAGGACAGUCUUAAAAUAAAUCCCUAAUCAGUGCCCCACCACCACACACACACACACUCUCGCAUACAUCCUUCUUGUUGACAUUCUAGAGCCCCACUUGUAAUUUAUCAGCAGACAGCCAAGGACCAUCAGACUCUGAAGGGACAUCUCUUUUAUGAGACACAUAGACUAAAACAUGCAAACAGAAGAAAAGCAACUCGAAAGAAAGAGAACCUUUGUAGGAAGAAGAAAUCUUUAACAAAGAGAAAUCAUUUGUAUCUUCAGAGAUACAAGAUGUGAUAUGACAUCCAUGAAACAGAACAGAGUUUAGAAAAGCUGGGAGAUCAAGUUAAGGAA
Molecule: long non-coding RNA, 2239 nt
Filed under: Sus scrofa (pig)
Lineage: Eukaryota; Metazoa; Chordata; Mammalia; Artiodactyla; Suidae
Description: lncRNA (ENSSSCG00025024899.1)
Source: RNAcentral